GAUGAACGCUGGCGGCGUGCCUAAUACAUGCAAGUCGAGCGAACAGACGAGGAGCUUGCUCCUCUGACGUUAGCGGCGGACGGGUGAGUAACACGUGGAUAACCUACCUAUAAGACUGGGAUAACUUCGGGAAACCGGAGCUAAUACCGGAUAAUAUAUUGAACCGCAUGGUUCAAUAGUGAAAGACGGUUUUGCUGUCACUUAUAGAUGGAUCCGCGCCGCAUUAGCUAGUUGGUAGGGUAACGGCUUACCAAGGCAACGAUGCGUAGCCGACCUGAGAGGGUGAUCGGCCACACUGGAACUGAGACACGGUCCAGACUCCUACGGGAGGCAGCAGUAGGGAAUCGUCCGCAAUGGGCGAAAGCUUGACGGAGCAACGCCGCGUGAGUGAUGAAGGUCUUCGGAUCGUAAAACUCUGUUAUUAGGGAAGAACAAAUGUGUAAGUAACUAUGCACGUCUUGACGGUACCUAAUCAGAAAGCCACGGCUAACUACGUG
Molecule: ribosomal RNA, 497 nt
Filed under: uncultured bacterium
Lineage: Bacteria
Description: partial 16S ribosomal RNA
Rfam family: Bacterial small subunit ribosomal RNA
Source: RNAcentral